RNAcentral lists this ribosomal RNA (466 nucleotides) under uncultured bacterium. RNAcentral's name for it is "partial 16S ribosomal RNA". It matches the Rfam family "Bacterial small subunit ribosomal RNA", at positions 28 to 507 of the family's 1533-position model. The record is from RNAcentral.
GACGAACGCUGGCGGCGUGCUUAACACAUGCAAGUCGAACGGAAAGGCCCUGCUUUUGUGGUGUGCUCGAGUGGCACACGUGUGUAUCACACGAGUGUACUGCGCUUUUGUCUUUGGUAUAACUUCGAGAAACUGGGGCUUAUCCGGGAUAAGCGCUCCUGCUGCAGGGGGUGGUUGGGAGAGUUGGCGGUUUUGGAUGGACUCGCGGCUUAUCAGCUUGUUGGUGGGGUAUUGGCUCACCAAGGCGCUGACGGGUAGCCGGCCUGAGAGGGUGACCGGCCACAUUGGGACUGAGAUACGGCCCAGACUCCUACGGGAGGCAGCAGUGGGGAAUAUUGCACGAUGGGCGGAAGCCUGAUGCAGCAACGCCGCGUGCGGGAUGACGGCCUUCGGGUUGUAAACCGCUUUCGGCUGUGACGAAGCGUAAGUGACGGUAAUGGGUAAAGAAGCACCGGCUAACUACGUG